Molecule: long non-coding RNA, 1283 nt
Filed under: Homo sapiens (human)
Lineage: Eukaryota; Metazoa; Chordata; Mammalia; Primates; Hominidae
Description: HSALNT0388829
Source: RNAcentral
UCAAAUGCUCUACCCCUGAGCUACACCCCCUACUCUGACGUUGUGACCGCUGCACCUGGGCUGAUUGUACCCCAGACCAGGGGCAAUGUCACCUGGCACCACCCUUUCCCACUACUCUUCCCUCUCGAGAGAGACUGGGGUUUCACACAGAGCAGUCGAGCCCCAUAAAUAGCAGCUGGCCACUCACAGGCCAACCCUCCCAGGCCCCAAAAAGGAAGUGAGAGACAGGCAGACACUUCUGUUCUUCCUGCAGAAAGUGCUGCUUCUGCAGUGACUCGUCAGAUGCUCCCCAGAGCCCAGCACAGACCCGGCUCCACCCACUUCUGUGGGUUGGCCAGAUGAGUGAGAAACACAGGCACAGCCAACGAGAGGGAGCUGAGGCCGGACCCAGGAGUCUUUUUCCUAUGGUCCUGCCUGAUAUAGUAACCGGGAAAGGGAUGAAUGUGAUGCAAUGUGCUCUUGUAAUGGAGCAUCACAGAACAGGUCAAAGACACAAGCCACACAGCAACGAGCGCGGACAGGCAGGGCAGAGCACAGCUGCACCCCCAUCAGGUACAUUUCAGGUGCUCAGCAGUGCACUUGUGCUUUGUGGCUGCCUUCUGGACAGCAUGGAUGCAGACCGCCUCCAACCAUCCCAGAAAGUUCCAUCACAGGCACUGAGCCAAAACUGGCCAUGGUGAUGGAGCUGCCAGGAGGGCGAAGCCCAAUCUCACUUUGGUCAACAUGGUCAACAUGUCAGGGAAGGGUAUCCAGGGACAGGUGCCCAGGGGCGGGUGCCCAGCUGCAGAAAGGUCUUCAGGGAACCUCCCUGCUCAGAGGCACUCUCUCAAUGUCAUCUCCUGCCUCCCAGCCCAAUCACACUACAUCCUGUCUUGGCUGCUCUCCUCCACUCUGCCCCAAGCCUGAAGCCAUCUGUCCUUCCUCUAAGCUCCAGGAGUCUCUGGGAAGUGUUUAUGGGUUAACUCUGUUGGAAUGCACAGGGAUUGCUCAGAAUAAAGCUCACCAGCCUUUGUUGGCCUGGAGGCCCUGCCUGCCCUGCCUCUACUGCCUCUCUGUCCUCCCCCCUGGCUCUCUCCACCCCAGCCUAGGUUCCCCAAACACAUCAGGCAGGGCCUGCUUGCGGCCUUUGCAGCUGCUGUUCCCUCUGCUCAGAAUGCUCUUCCCCAACGCCCCCGGUCAUCCCCCUGCCCCCCACUGCUUCAGUCAGAUAUCUCAAAUAUCACCUCAUCAGAAAGCCUCCCAUUCUAGCCGAAAGAGCUCAGGUAUAUGCACACUCACACACA